Molecule: ribosomal RNA, 663 nt
Filed under: Emiliania huxleyi
Lineage: Eukaryota; Haptophyta; Isochrysidales; Noelaerhabdaceae
Description: SSU rRNA
Rfam family: Eukaryotic small subunit ribosomal RNA
Source: RNAcentral
CGCUCGUAGUCGGAUUUCGGGGCGGGCCGACCGGUCUGCCGAUGGGUAUGCACUGGCCGGCGCGUCCUUCCACCCGGAGACCGCGCCUACUCUUAACUGAGCGGGCGCGGGAGACGGGUCUUUUACUUUGAAAAAAUCAGAGUGUUUCAAGCAGGCAGUCGCUCUUGCAUGGAUUAGCAUGGGAUAAUGAAAUAGGACUCUGGUGCUAUUUUGUUGGUUUCGAACACCGGAGUAAUGAUUAACAGGGACAGUCAGGGGCACUCGUAUUCCGCCGAGAGAGGUGAAAUUCUCAGACCAGCGGAAGACGAACCACUGCGAAAGCAUUUGCCAGGGAUGUUUUCACUGAUCAAGAACGAAAGUUAGGGGAUCGAAGACGAUCAGAUACCGUCGUAGUCUUAACCAUAAACCAUGCCGACUAGGGAUUGGAGGAUGUUCCAUUUGUGACUCCUUCAGCACCUUUCGGGAAACUAAAGUCUUUGGGUUCCGGGGGGAGUAUGGUCGCAAGGCUGAAACUUAAAGGAAUUGACGGAAGGGCACCACCAGGAGUGGAGCCUGCGGCUUAAUUUGACUCAACACGGGGAAACUUACCAGGUCCAGACAUUGUGAGGAUUGACAGAUUGAGAGCUCUUUCUUGAUUCGAUGGGUGGUGGUGCAUGGCCGUUC